CACCAUGAAGUGUCUGUGCUCUCUGACUGUCUUUGUCAUCGUGAUAGUGAACUGCGCUUCACAGUCAAUAGCACCACUGGAUAACAAAACACAGGUUCAUGCUCUUGAAGACGAGAGAGUUAUUCUCUCCUGCACGUAUAAUGGUAGAGUGACUAAUCUGCAGUGGUUUCGUCAGUAUCCUGGAUCCAGACCAGAGUUUUUGUUGCUGAAAUAUCCAGGAGCAAGUGGUGUAGUCCCUGCAGACCCUCCUUUCCCUCGACUGGAUGCCAAAGUGAAUGGAAGUACAGUGGAUCUGUUGAUCUCCUCUGCUGCAGUAUCAGACUCUGCACUCUACUACUGUGCUCUGGAGCCCACAGUGACAGGAAACCCAGCUACACUGUACAAAAACUUACUGCAGGAGGAUGCUUUGCAUUUGGUAAUAUGUCUGAAGAUGUUGCACUUGUUAAUGCAGUUGUGUGUGAGUGUGGUAAAAGGCAACCAUGCACAGCAUGAGUACACUCUAAAAAGAGAAAGAUCUCAUGCUCUUUAAGAUUCUUUUGAGUAUUUUGAAGGUGAAAAUGAACAAUUAAAAAAUUGGAAGUUUAUAUUUUUUUUCUUUGAAAUUAAACUGAAUGAAAAGGUGUUUUGGUGGUUGGUGUAGCGUAGUGGAUAACACCUUUUCCUUCGACGCUGGAGACGGGUUCAGUCCCCCACCUGAGCAAGCACACUACACUAUACCAAUAAGAGUCCCUGGGCAAGACUCCUAACACUACCUUUGCCUACUUAUGUAAAAAAUGAUCAAAUUGUAAGUUGCUCUGGAUAAGAGUGUCUGCCAAAUGCACUAAAUGUUUUGCAUCAUUAGAGUAAACAACGAAUAUUAUAAAAAUAAUCCAGAAGUACAGUAAAGUACAAGUAUAUAAGAGUCAUACUGAAACCCAUACAGUAGUGUUUACAAGUGAUUUCUUAUAAAAGUAUCAUUGGAUCUUCUGCUUCUUUGUCUCUGUGUGACUUGACACAUUCAUGUAUUUUAGCUUGAUGUCCAGCAGUAUGACAUCAAAGUCAAGUGACUUUGUAGAAAAUUCUUUCAUCUCCACAGAAGCUUUAGGUGUUGCUCUGUUUGCCAGCCAAUCAAUGCAUGAUCAGAUGAAAUAAGAUCAGAGUUGAGCUUCAUGAGCUUCAUUGUGAACUAGGAGUGGGUGGAGCUACAAGUGUUAAGAUACAGAUCAUACAACAUCAGAGAGUCAACACAGCUAUUAAUGUCUGAUGCUGGAGACCUGAACUGUCACUCAGAACAAUCAUGCUGCUCUUCAUCUCUGUUUUCAUCAUUGCUUUCAGGUAUAUACACACAGCAUUGCAAGGGAUUGAACUUAAAGAAGAGCAUACAAUCUAUCUAUGUCUUUAAAUAUCUAAAUAUUAUAUUUUUUCUGUCAUGUAGAAAACAUACAGUACUGUAUGAAAGUUUUAGGCAUGUAAGCAAAUUUUUAAACAAUUUACCUCAGCAAUGAGUUUAUCACAAUAUACAUUAGAAUAAAGGCAUACUCAUAAUUCAAGUAAGCAUAAAAACAAUAAAAAGU
Pygocentrus nattereri (red-bellied piranha) is the source of this 1553-nucleotide non-coding RNA. The record is from the annotation of a RefSeq genome assembly. NCBI's taxonomy places the organism in Eukaryota, Metazoa, Chordata, Actinopteri, Characiformes, Serrasalmidae.